CCAGACUCCUACGGGAGGCAGCAGUGGGGAAUAUUGCACAAUGGGGGAAACCCUGAUGCAGCAACGCCGCGUGGGUGAAGGAGCGUUUCGGCGCGUAAAGCCCUGUCAGCGGGGAAGAAGAAAGACGGUACCCGACCAAGAAGCCCCGGCUAACUACGUGCCAGCAGCCGCGGUAAUACGUAGGGGGCGAGCGUUAUCCGGAAUUACUGGGUGUAAAGGGAGCGUAGACGGCGAGACAAGUCUGGAGUGAAAGGCCGGGGCCCAACCCCGGGACUGCUCUGGAAACUGCCUGGCUGGAGUACAGGAGAGGUAAGUGGAAUUCCUAGUGUAGCGGUGAAAUGCGUAGAUAUUAGGAGGAACACCGGCGGCGAAGGCGGCCUGCUGGACUGAAACUGACGUUGAGGCUCGAAAGCGUGGGGAGCAAACAGGAUUAGAUACCCUAGUA
Molecule: ribosomal RNA, 445 nt
Filed under: uncultured bacterium
Lineage: Bacteria
Description: bacterial SSU rRNA
Rfam family: Bacterial small subunit ribosomal RNA
Source: RNAcentral